This is a long non-coding RNA of Melanotaenia boesemani (Boeseman's rainbowfish), 99 nucleotides long. RefSeq lists it as uncharacterized. The record is from RefSeq and is a predicted model, not a curated record. The transcript has 3 exons. Lineage: Eukaryota; Metazoa; Chordata; Actinopteri; Atheriniformes; Melanotaeniidae.
GACUGUACAGCUGUGGUGCCAUAAGAAAACCACUAAUCAGUGAGGCUAACCGGAGAAAACGGCUUCAGGUUGUUAGGGAGCAUGAAGACUGGACUCUGG